AGUAUGUGUAUGGAUUUACUCCAGAAGCAGAAUGAGGCCGCAGAGAAUCGGUGGCUGCGACUGUUUAUUAAAAACACAGCACUCUGCAAAGACGAAAGUCGACGUAUAGGGUGUGACGCCUGCCCGGUGCUGGAAGAUUAAAUGAUGGGGUGCAAGCUCUUGACUGAAGUCCCAGUAAACGGCGGCCGUAACUAUAACGGUCCUAAGGUAGCGAAAUUCCUUGUCGGGUAAGUUCCGACCUGCACGAAUGGCGUAACGAUGGCCACACUGUCUCCUCCAGAGACUCAGCGAAGUUGAAAUGUUUGUGAUGAUGCAAUCUCCCCGCGGAAAGACGGAAAGACCCCAUGAACCUUUACUGUAGCUUUACAUUGGACUUUGAACAGAUCUGUGUAGGAUAGGUGGGAGGCUUUGAAGUAGGGACGCUAGUUUCUAUGGAGCCAACGUUGAAAUACCACCCUGGUGUGUUUGAGGUUCUAACCUUGUCCCGUUAUCCGGGAUGGGGACAGUGUAUGGUGGGCAGUUUGACUGGGGCGGUCUCCUCCCAAAGUGUAACGGAGGAGUUCGAAGGUACGCUAAAUACGGUCGGAAAUCGUGUUGAUAGUGCAUUGGCAUAAGCGUGCUUGACUGCGAGACUGACAAGUCGAGCAGGUACGAAAGUAGGACAAAGUGAUCCGGUGGUUCUGUAUGGAAGGGCCAUCGCUCAACGGAUAAAAGGUACUCUGGGGAUAACAGGCUGAUACCGCCCAAGAGUUCAUAUCGACGGCGGUGUUUGGCACCUCGAUGUCGGCUCAUCACAUCCUGGGGCUGAAG
Molecule: non-coding RNA, 810 nt
Filed under: Reticulomyxa filosa
Lineage: Eukaryota; Foraminifera; Reticulomyxidae
Description: Bacterial large subunit ribosomal RNA
Rfam family: Bacterial large subunit ribosomal RNA
Source: Rfam by way of RNAcentral